This 78-nucleotide small RNA is filed under the name Roseococcus suduntuyensis. RNAcentral describes it as "Makes More Granules Regulator RNA (mmgR)". It matches the Rfam family "Makes More Granules Regulator RNA (mmgR)". From Rfam's summary of the family: SuhB later renamed mmgR (makes more granules regulator) was a putative non-coding RNA found multiple times in the Agrobacterium tumefaciens genome and related alpha-proteobacteria. The record is from Rfam by way of RNAcentral. Lineage: Bacteria; Pseudomonadati; Pseudomonadota; Alphaproteobacteria; Acetobacterales; Roseomonadaceae.
GGUUCCUGCCCGCUUUCUUGGACGUUUCCUCCCUUAACUUGGCGGUGCAGCAAUGCACCGCCAUUUUUUUUGGACGCC